This is a non-coding RNA of Schizosaccharomyces pombe (fission yeast), 301 nucleotides long. The record is from the annotation of a GenBank genome assembly. Lineage: Eukaryota; Fungi; Ascomycota; Schizosaccharomycetes; Schizosaccharomycetales; Schizosaccharomycetaceae.
GUGAUCAAUACACUGCCGCCCCAUCGUCGUUGGAUCGCAUGUCCAUUUGCUAUUGUGAUGGAUUCUUACACAGCGAUAUACUCCCAUGCAGAAAAAUGAAGCAUGGCACUUGAAAACACCGGGCUCGGAAUCGCUGUUGGGCCGAUCGGCCAUUUCUAAAUUGUGAAUAAUCGUUCAACAAUUUGUUUGUAAAUAGAUGGAAUUCACUGAACGGGGAAGAUGUCUCUUGUAAUGUGUAUACAGGCGCACUUCUGUCCGCCCAUUUCGUAGACAACGCAAUGACUUAAAAUAUUGUACAAUA